Molecule: long non-coding RNA, 2864 nt
Filed under: Salmo salar (Atlantic salmon)
Lineage: Eukaryota; Metazoa; Chordata; Actinopteri; Salmoniformes; Salmonidae
Description: lncRNA (ENSSSAG00000094081.1)
Source: RNAcentral
AGUGAAGUUAACAUUCAUUCCUAGGAGGAAACAUAUCACAAUGGGGAGGAGGGGGGAACAAUGCCCUUUUACUCAGAAAUGUCUGUGGAAUUCAAUCCAGUAAUAUGUGAGCUAUGCUGCAGGGUGAGUAACAUGGAACUUGUAGAAAGCCAAGAGUAGGAUUGCAACAUCUUCUUGUGAAGCAGGAAGAGAAACCUUGUACCCACCCCGAAUCCACCUGUUGAAUUCUAUUUUAUAAUGGGUUUUCCUAGGCAAUGCUCGUAGGGCUACCAAACGAACAGGUGGAAGUACAUCUCUACGGCCUCUGUUGUUAUGGAGAAAAUGGAGCCUCAAAGGAGAGUGUACAUAUCCCUCCCUAAAAAAUACAUGGCUGCUUUGGCCGAAAAGUGUAAACUGGAUCACGGGCUUGUCAUUAAGGAUCUCAUCACUAACAUAAAUGAAGGAUACCUACAAGCUUACUUCCGACAGUGGGGCAGCAUUACAGCAUGCACGAUCAAGAAGACUCCACAGAACUCUGACUCAAAGAGUGCCAGUGCGUUGGGAUACGUGAGGUUUUCCUCUGAUGAGGAGGCAGAUACGGCAGACUGGGCGGGUCCUCACUAUAUAGGAGGCAUGGAGGUGGAGGUCAAGAGAGUUGUCAGUCUGAAGAUGGAUGACCCAGAAGGUUGAGGUCAGCCCAGCCAGGUCUAUCCGUGGACGGUCCAUGGGUCUGAUCAUCAAUUGAGCAUCUUCGAGAAUGUAUCAGAGACUGGAUGAUACUGUACCGACAUUAUUUAAAAAAAAAUCACAACUGGAUGGGAUGCAUGAUUAUUUGUUGAAAAAUAAAUGUAGAUUAUAAUUUUUUUUCUAUGAUUUGGUUUGAUUGUAUCAAUUUGUUUUCAGAUGUCUUAUGUACCUUGAUUUACUGAUUUGUAAUGAAAUGCCAAUUGUUUUCAAUGUUGUAAAUAUUAUAAGGCCUAUGUUGCAUCAUAUUCUGUUUUGUAAUUUGAGUAAGUUUAACUUUUAGUAGAAUAACCAAAGAUAUUACUAGAAAGGGACAUUUCCUAAAGAAAAUGUGUGUUUGGUAGAAGUAUUUAUAAUAGUGACAGCAGUAGUAGUAAUGAUUGAUUGAUCACAUUUAUAGGGCCCUGUAAAUCCGCGAUGUGGAGAACGCUGACAGAUUCCGGACAUUAAAAUGGAAUUGAACAAUGUUCAAAAAUGUAUAUAACUUAGUAGGGAAUCAACAAAAUGUAGCCUAUUGAUAAUUAAUAAAUUUGAACAAGAUUAUCAUGCCAUAUGACAUGCACACAAUGCAUUUGUGAUUCGUAUUUUCUGCAAACUUCUAGAGGGCAAUGAGAAUUGCAUUCGCCAUCACACUGCGCUAUCCAAUCUGGACAAGAGGAAUACCUAUUUAAGAAUGCUGUUCAUUGACUACAGCUCAGCAUUCAACACCAUAGUACCCUCCAAGCCCAUCAUUAAGCUUGAGCCCUGGGUCGAUGGGACCGCAGCGGAAAAGGUGUAAAGUUUUUUUUUAAGUUCCUCUGUGUACACAUCACGGACAAACUGAAAUGGUCCACGCGCACAGACAGUGGGGUGAGAAGGCACAACAGUGCCUCUUCAACCUCAGGAGGCUGAAGAAAUUUGGCUUGUCACCUAAAACCCUCACAAACAUUUACAGAUGCACAAUUGAGAGCAUCCUGUCUGGCUGUAUCACCGCCUGGUACGGCAACUGCACCGCCCAUAACCGCAGGGCUCUCCAGAGGGUGGUGCACAACACAUCACCAGGGGAAAACUACCUGCCCUCCAGGACACCAGCUACAGCACCCGAUGUCACAGGUUUGCCAAAAAGAUCAUCAAGGACAACAACCACCCGAGCGACUGCCUGUUCCCCCCGCUACCAUCCAGAAGGCAAGGUCAGUACAAAGCUGGGACCGGGAGACAGAAGCUAUUUCUCAAUCUCAAGGCCAUCAGACUGUUAAACAGCCAUCACUACACAGAGAGGCUGCUGCCUACCUACAGACUUGAUAUCAUUGGCCACUUUUAAUAAAUGGAUCACUAGUCACUUUAAUAAUGGCACUUUAAUGUUUACAUAUCUUGCAUUACUCAUCUCAUAUGUAUAAACUGUAUUUUAUACCAUCUAUUGCAUCUUGCCUAUGCCGCUCUGUCAUUGCUCAUCCAUAUAUUUAUAUAUUCUUAUUCCAUUCCUUUAUUUAGAUUUGUGUGCAUAAGGUAGUUGUGGAAUUGUUAGAUUACUUGUUAGAUAUUGCUGCACUGUCGGAACUAGAAGCACAAGCUUUUCGCAAUAACAUCUGCUAACCAUGUGUAUGUGACGAAUAACAUUUGAUUUGAUUUGAAUUCCUUGUCUGUAUGUGUGGUGCGCAAGCCUGCCACUUUGUGUAGCUGUUAGCGAGGAUUCUAAUGAAAAGUCUUCUGGUAGAUGGAAAGGCUUUCCCAUAAACCUUUUCAAUUAGAUGUUAACUACAAAGUAGCCUAUGCUUACCUUACCAAUCAAUACAGUGGGUAUUUGUUUUGCGAACACUGCCAUCACGUGCGCACUACAAAAACACUUCUAAACUGCCUCUUGCUACUGUAGGUACACACUGGAAUUAAAGGGUAAAUACAAAGGGUAUAUACCCCAAAUCAAAAAUUUGCUAAAGAAAUCCAGACCUCAAAAGUGGUCUCUUGAUGUUGUUUUGCUUUGGACUUAGAACAUCAAAUGAAAUUGUAUUAGUCACAUGCGCCGAAUUCAACAGGUGUAGACUGUCAUGACGUUGGCCUGUGGGUAAGGUUUAUGACCCCCCCCCCAUAAAUACCUUUCUCCCUUCCCCUCUCUGACCCUACUGAAGGACUUGAAUAGCCUGUGUUAAAUAUAGAGAGUCUGGGAA